This 288-nucleotide ribosomal RNA is filed under the name Triticum aestivum (bread wheat). Its description in RNAcentral is "partial small subunit ribosomal RNA". The record is from RNAcentral. Lineage: Eukaryota; Viridiplantae; Streptophyta; Magnoliopsida; Poales; Poaceae.
GAAGUGGCCACUUGGGAUGCCCUUCUCCAGGACAUCGCCCUCCUCCCGAUGAACGUCGUCGACACCCCUGACGCCAUAUCUUGGCGACUGGAGCCCUCCGGCUGCUUCUCCACCAAAUCCCUCUACGCGGCCAUCACCUCCUCGGCGGCCUUCGAGCCCUUUAGUUUGCUUUGGGAUAUUCGCUUGCCCAUGAAAAUCAGGAUCUUUCUAUGGCAAUGGAUCCGCGGCCGCCUCCCGUCCGGGGUGGAGGUUCUUAAGCGUAAUGGACCUGGAGAUGGGAUUUGUCCU